AGAGUUUGAUCCUGGCUCAGAUUGAACGCUGGCGGCAGGCCUAACACAUGCAAGUCGAGCGGUAACAGAAAGUAGCUUGCUACUUUGCUGACGAGCGGCGGACGGGUGAGUAAUGCCUGGGAAUAUGCCUUGAUGUGGGGGAUAACUAUUGGAAACGAUAGCUAAUACCGCAUAAUGUCUUCGGACCAAAGAGGGGGAUCUUCGGACCUCUCGCGUCAAGAUUAGCCCAGGUGAGAUUAGCUAGUUGGUGGGGUAAGAGCUCACCAAGGCGACGAUCUCUAGCUGGUCUGAGAGGAUGAUCAGCCACACUGGAACUGAGACACGGUCCAGACUCCUACGGGAGGCAGCAGUGGGGAAUAUUGCACAAUGGGCGAAAGCCUGAUGCAGCCAUGCCGCGUGUAUGAAGAAGGCCUUCGGGUUGUAAAGUACUUUCAGUCGUGAGGAAGGGUGUGCAGUUAAUAGCUGUACAUCUUGACGUUAGCGACAGAAGAAGCACCGGCUAACUCCGUGCCAGCAGCCGCGGUAAUACG
This 530-nucleotide ribosomal RNA is filed under the name Vibrio sp. LnSQ6. RNAcentral describes it as "bacterial SSU rRNA". It matches the Rfam family "Bacterial small subunit ribosomal RNA", at positions 8 to 527 of the family's 1533-position model. Lineage: Bacteria; Pseudomonadati; Pseudomonadota; Gammaproteobacteria; Vibrionales; Vibrionaceae. The record is from RNAcentral.